RNAcentral lists this ribosomal RNA (222 nucleotides) under uncultured bacterium. RNAcentral's name for it is "partial 16S ribosomal RNA". It matches the Rfam family "Bacterial small subunit ribosomal RNA", at positions 118 to 340 of the family's 1533-position model. The record is from RNAcentral.
UGAGCAAUCUGCCCUUCUCAUCGGAAUAAGCGUUGGAAACGACGUCUAAUGCCGAAUACGACCUCCUUUCGCAUGAUCGGAGGUGGAAAGCUCCGGCGGAGAAGGAUGAGCUCGCGGCCUAUCAGCUAGUUGGUGUGGGUAAUGGCCUACCAAGGCAACGAUCCGUAGCUGGUCUGAGAGGACGAUCAGCCACACUGGGACUGAGACACGGCCCAGACUCCG